RNAcentral lists this ribosomal RNA (347 nucleotides) under uncultured bacterium. RNAcentral's name for it is "bacterial SSU rRNA". It matches the Rfam family "Bacterial small subunit ribosomal RNA", at positions 8 to 334 of the family's 1533-position model. The record is from RNAcentral.
AGAGUUUGAUUCUGGCUCAGGACGAACGCUGGCGGCGCGCCUAACACAUGCAAGUCGAACGGAGUUGCGACGACAGAUCCCUUCGGGGUGACGUUAUCGUAACUUAGUGGCGAACGGGUGAGUAACACGUGAGUAACCUGCCUUUCAGAGGGGGACAACAGUUGGAAACGACUGCUAAUACCGCAUAAGACCACAGUACGGCAUCGUACAGGGGUCAAAGGAGCAAUCCGCUGAAAGAUGGACUCGCGUCCAAUUAGCUGGUUGGUGAGGUAACGGCCCACCAAGGCGACGAUUGGUAGCCGGACUGAGAGGUUGAACGGCCACAUUGGGACUGAGACACGGCCCAG